This 147-nucleotide non-coding RNA is filed under the name Papio anubis (olive baboon). Lineage: Eukaryota; Metazoa; Chordata; Mammalia; Primates; Cercopithecidae. The record is from Rfam by way of RNAcentral.
GCUGGGCGUGGUGGCGGGCGCCUGUAGUCCCAGCUACUCGGAGGCUGAGGCAGGAGAAUGGCGUGAACCCAGGAGGUGGAGCUUGCAGUGAGCCGAGAUCGUGCCACUGCACUCCAGCCUGGGUGACAAAGCGAGACUCCGUCUCAA